Molecule: long non-coding RNA, 332 nt
Organism: Coffea arabica (coffee)
Lineage: Eukaryota; Viridiplantae; Streptophyta; Magnoliopsida; Gentianales; Rubiaceae
Source: RefSeq, a predicted model, not a curated record
CAAACUCGAAGUUGCUGAUGUCCCUCAUCAGUCACCCGAUAGCUGGUUCGAUAGUGGAGUUUUCACGAUGACCUUUCUUGAACACUGGAGUGGAAGAUUGGCUAUGCGAAUUACAAAGGAAAAUAUUACGAAGUAUCGAAUGCUGUACACCGCGCGGCUUUGUAGUUCGGAGCAUAAUACAAAGUUUGUAGACACUAUUUCCGCCAUGCUUGGGAGUAAAUAGUAAAUGGUUGCAAGAGCAUCUUCAACAGGGAUGUAAUUUGUUGUUUCUGCUAUGCAUAAUAGCAAAGGAUAUUUUUUGAAACAGUUACUGAUUUUGUUUUUCUGGACAC